Molecule: ribosomal RNA, 447 nt
Filed under: uncultured bacterium
Lineage: Bacteria
Description: SSU rRNA
Rfam family: Bacterial small subunit ribosomal RNA
Source: RNAcentral
AGAGCGAACGCUGGCGGCAGGCCUAACACAUGCAAGUCGAGCGCCCGUAGCAAUACGGGAGCGGCAGACGGGAUAGUAACACGUGGGAACGCGCCCUUCGGUUCGGAAUAACUCAGGGAAACUUGAGCUAAUACCGAAUACGCCCUUACGGGGAAAGAUUUAUUGCCGAAGGAACGGCCCGCGUCCGAUUAGCUAGUUGGUGAGGUAAUGGCUCACCAAGGCUACGAUCGGUAGCUGGUCUGAGAGGAUGACCAGCAUCACUGGGACUGAGACACGGCCCAGACUCCUACGGGAGGCAGCAGUGGGGAAUAUGGACAAUGGGCGCAAGCCUGAUCCAGCCAUGCCGCGUGGAUGAUGAAGGCCUUAGGGUUGUAAAGUCCUUUUAACGGGGAAGAUAAUGACGGUACCCGUAGAAUAAGCCCCGGCUAACUUCGCGCCAGCAGCCGC